Molecule: ribosomal RNA, 448 nt
Filed under: uncultured bacterium
Lineage: Bacteria
Description: bacterial SSU rRNA
Rfam family: Bacterial small subunit ribosomal RNA
Source: RNAcentral
UGCCAGACUCCUACGGGAGGCAGCAGUGGGGAAUAUUGCACAAUGGGGGAAACCCUGAUGCAGCGACGCCGCGUGAGUGAAGAAGUAUUUCGGUAUGUAGAGCUCUAUCAGCAGGGACGAAAAUGACGGUACCUGAGUAAGAAGCCCCGGCUAACUACGUGCCAGCAGCCGCGGUAAUACGUAGGGGGCAAGCGUUAUCCGGAUUUACUGGGUGUAAAGGGAGCGUAGACGGUUAUGCAAGUCUGGAGUGAAACCCCAUGGCUUAACCAUGGAACUGCUUUGGAAACUGUGCAGCUGGAGUGCAGGAGAGGUAAGCGGAAUUCCUAGUGUAGCGGUGAAAUGCGUAGAUAUUAGGAGGAACACCAGUGGCGAAGGCGGCUUACUGGACUGUAACUGACGUUGAGGCUCGAAAGCGUGGGGAGCAAACAGGAUUAGAUACCCUUGUACG